Molecule: RNase P RNA, 307 nt
Filed under: Neotoma lepida (desert woodrat)
Lineage: Eukaryota; Metazoa; Chordata; Mammalia; Rodentia; Cricetidae
Description: Nuclear RNase P
Rfam family: Nuclear RNase P
About the family: Ribonuclease P (RNase P) is a ubiquitous endoribonuclease, found in archaea, bacteria and eukarya as well as chloroplasts and mitochondria. Its best characterised activity is the generation of mature 5'-ends of tRNAs by cleaving the 5'-leader elements of precursor-tRNAs.
Source: Rfam by way of RNAcentral
GGUGGGGGAAGCUCAUCAGUGGGGCCACUUGAUGAAUGCUCAUCACUCCCCGGCCCCUGGGAAGGUCUGAGACUGAGGCUUCCGGCUGCCCUAACUGGGCUCUCCCUGAGCAGGGAGAUGAGUUCCUAGAAUGGGGCAGACCUGGCAGGAGAGGCCUGGAGUCCGGGGAUGCCUCCCUCGUGGGAGCUUGGAACAGACUCAUGGCCGGGGCUGGCUGUAUUAGCAUGCAAGAGAAACUCCGUGGCUUUUACAGUGGAGAGAGAGAGAUACAGCAAGGGCCAUUUCCCUCAGUAGCUCUUUUGCUAUC